CGGAUUGCAGUCUGCAACUCGAGUGCAUGAAGCUGGAAUCGCUAGUAAUCGCGGAUCAGAAUGCCGCGGUGAAUACGUUCCCGGGUCUUGUACACACCGCCCGUCACACCAUGGGAGUCGGGAAUGCCCGAAGCCGGUGGCCCAAUCGAAAGAAGGGAGCCGUCGAAGGCAGGCCGGAUGACUGGGGUGAAGUCGUAACAAGGUAAC
This 207-nucleotide ribosomal RNA is filed under the name uncultured bacterium. Its description in RNAcentral is "partial 16S ribosomal RNA". It matches the Rfam family "Bacterial small subunit ribosomal RNA", at positions 1294 to 1500 of the family's 1533-position model. The record is from RNAcentral.